Molecule: long non-coding RNA, 1534 nt
Filed under: Felis catus (domestic cat)
Lineage: Eukaryota; Metazoa; Chordata; Mammalia; Carnivora; Felidae
Description: lncRNA (ENSFCAG00000051084.1)
Source: RNAcentral
AAGCGUGUGCGCACGCGCUCCCAGCUGGUUCACUCCUGGCGCUCCCAGGGCAGGAAAAUCGAAGACCCAAACUGGCGCCUGCGCACUUGGUCUCCGCCGCUGCUGUGGUCUUGCGCCCCGCCCCCGUCCCCCCACCUCCCCCCAGGCUCGCGCUCAGCGGCGGCGGUGUUGGUGCCGCCGGGAGCGGACGGACCCGAGGUGAAGGUGGGGGGCUGGGGUCCACCGCCCGCGGCCGAGUCCCCGCGCCUCUCCUACCCUCCCCGCGCCCCCCGUGUGGCCCCCACUGCUAACAGUCGCGCGGCCAAACGCGGCCCACGGGCAGGGCGCGGAAGGGGAGUAGACGCGAGGCUGGGGACGAGCGGGGGGGGGGGGGGGCGGCGAGGGAGGGGCGCGCCCACCACCCCUCCUGGCCUACAGCGACCCCGCCUACAUCGCGGGACGGGGACCCUCGCAUGGGCUGCUGCAGGGGCCCGGGUUGGGCUUGGGCCCUGAGGUCACAGAGCAGAUGGUCCCAAAUGGAGCACAGGAUGUGUGGAGUAGCCUCUGUCUGCCUCCAACCCAGGACCCGGCCCCCUGAGUUCUGAGUCCACCAGCUCUUAACGCCUCUGUGAUCAGAAUCAGACCUCUUCACCUGUCCAAGCCCCAGCUUCCUCAUCGGCAAGCUGGCUAUGAAGAGGUGGGUCUGCGUCAUUCUCCCAGGUUUGUAGCGACCAGGAUGGGUGAAAACGUGUGUUUUGUCAGUUUGCUGGGAUGAUUUCUUCCGGAGGUGCAGAAGGUGGUCGGGUCUUGAGACCCGGUUUUUCCUGGGAAAAGUUGACCUCCUCUGUCCCCAGCUUGGGAAACUGUUACCCCAGUGAGGGUGGCGGUUGUCCCAAGACCUUAUCCCACCCCAGCCUUGCCCUGGGAGGAAAGGGUAGGGGCCUCAGGAAUGUGGUGCUCGCUGCCAAGAGACACGCCAGAUUUACAUACACCUGAGGCCUCCUGUGUGCUUAACAACGCCCCAGAACUCCGUCCCCCAGCUCCAAGGUCAUAAAUACCCUUGGGUGGGCAGGGUCUGACGUGGGAACCUGGGUAGCACCAGGGGCAGCCCCACUCCCACUACCCUUAGCCCUUCGUUCUUGGUUCUCUGCUAGGUGACUGGGGAGAGCAGGGCUGUCUGGGCUCUCUUCUUGGCCACGCUGAACGCCUUGAAGGGCCCUAGCCCUGACACUGCCCCUAAGGGUGUCCUGAGCCCUGGUGACAGGCAGGCAAGGGUUAAGAGGUAUGGGCUGGCCCAGUCCCUGGCCAGGUAGGCUGGGCUAUUGCCUAGUGGGAGGCGGCCUAGGCAUCUGCCACUGGCUCACUGCUCACUGCCACUACCAGCUGGAACAGGGCCUGGUUGAGACAACUAUUUUAUCGAGGUACUUGAGGCCACCCCACAGCACCUCUCUGGCGUUGGUGAGCACCUGGGAACAGGGGACCCAGGGGCAGGGUAGGGGAAGAAGGGUCUAGGGUGUACUGAGGCCCCCUGUGGGAGAAAGCCAAGUCUGUGCAA